RNAcentral lists this ribosomal RNA (417 nucleotides) under uncultured microorganism. RNAcentral's name for it is "bacterial SSU rRNA". It matches the Rfam family "Bacterial small subunit ribosomal RNA", at positions 9 to 416 of the family's 1533-position model. The record is from RNAcentral.
GAGUUUGAUCGUGGCUCAGGACGAACGCUGGCGGCGUGCCUAAUACAUGCAAGUCGAGCGGAUCUUCAUUAGCUUGCUUUUGAAGAUCAGCGGCGGACGGGUGAGUAACACGUGGGCAACCUGCCUGUAAGACUGGGAUAACUUCGGGAAACCGGAGCUAAUACCGGAUGAUCCUUUUCCUCUCAUGAGGAAAAGCUGAAAGACGGUUUCGGCUGUCACUUACAGAUGGGCCCGCGGCGCAUUAGCUAGUUGGUGAGGUAACGGCUCACCAAGGCGACGAUGCGUAGCCGACCUGAGAGGGUGAUCGGCCACACUGGGACUGAGACACGGCCCAGACUCCUACGGGAGGCAGCAGUAGGGAAUCUUCCGCAAUGGACGAAAGUCUGACGGAGCAACGCCGCGUGAGCGAUGAAGGCC